AAUCAACGCUGGCGGCGUGCCUCAGACAUGCAAGUCGAACGAUUAAAGCUCUCUUCGGAGAGUGUAUAAAGUGGCGUACGGGUGAGUAACACGUAAGUAAUCUACCUUUUAGUGGGGAAUAACUUAAGGAAACUUAAGCUAAUACCGCAUAAUGCAAUAGUAUCUAUUGAUGCAAUUGUUAAAGAAUUUAUUCGCUAAAAGAGGAGCUUGCGGCAGAUUAGCUAGUUGGUAAGGUAAUGGCUUACCAAGGCUACGAUCUGUAGCCGACCUGAGAGGGUGGUCGGUCACACUGACACUGAAUAACGGGUCAG
This 311-nucleotide ribosomal RNA is filed under the name uncultured bacterium. RNAcentral describes it as "bacterial SSU rRNA". It matches the Rfam family "Bacterial small subunit ribosomal RNA", at positions 32 to 334 of the family's 1533-position model. The record is from RNAcentral.